This is a long non-coding RNA of Tarenaya hassleriana, 3187 nucleotides long. RefSeq lists it as uncharacterized. NCBI's taxonomy places the organism in Eukaryota, Viridiplantae, Streptophyta, Magnoliopsida, Brassicales, Cleomaceae. The transcript is spliced from 15 exons. The record is from RefSeq and is a predicted model, not a curated record.
UCAUCUCUCUCCCUCGAGCUCUCGCUCUCUCCCUCCCUCGCUCUCGCUCUCGCUCUCUCCCUCUCUCUCUUCUUGCUUCGGAACUUGGCUCUUAUUCUUUUCCGGCAUCUCUUGGGCUUUCUCUUCCCUCUGUGGUCGCCUUGCUAGGUCAGCGGCUUGGAUCAAUCAACCAGUCAAGACGAAGAAGAAGAAGAUUACGAGAACUAUGAAAACUAUGGUCUUAUUCUUUCUACAAUUACCUCAAGAACGGGUUCAUACCCGAGUACGCUACUCGUGGCCAGUAUAGAGCCUGGGGUUUUCUUCAAGGCAUUUAUUUCCUGUCCUGAGCAAGCCUCUUUCAUUCUAAAGGUGAUCUUGCAUCUCUUCCGGAAGGUCGCUUGCAAUUGAACAAGGCGGAAUUGCCUGACCACCAAAACUCCGCCGAGCGGUUGGGGUUUCUAUGCAUUGGAUUGCGAAGACAUGUGUCGUCUAGUAUGGUUCGAGGAGAAAUCGCAGGCAAACAUUGGCGUACUGGUGAUGUACUGGUGAUAGGUACGUUUCUCAGGUGAGACAUGUGAACCGUCAAGGGCCAAGCACUGAAACAUAUGGUGUAAUGACUAAGCAUCUCUUUCAGUUUCGGGCAUGACACAAUUCUGCAAACUCAUUUGGGCUUACAACCCAAAGAGAAAAGCAAUGUUCUUGGUGUCUGCAUCAGAUUCUAACACCAGCCACCAAACGACAAACAUAUGAAGAAUGGUGUUUUACUUCAUGGACACGCCAAAAAGGUAAGUAGAACCUCAUCAUCAUCAUCAUCAUCAUUGUCAUCUUUAGCAUACAUCAUUAACAUUGCGUUUGCGUUAUCAUCAUCAUCAUCUUCAUUAGCAUCUGCAUCAUAAACAUGGGAUUUGCAUUUGCAUUUGCAUCAUAACUUCGUCAUCAUUAGCAUUUGCGUAAUCACAUGACGUCACAUCAGAAUUACACCAUACACAUAACAUCCAUUAUCUCAUACAUCAAAAUCAUCACCUUAUGUUACUACACAUCAAAUCAUAUCAAUGUCACCAUAAAACGCAUAACAACACGUCAUCUCAUAUCAAAAUCAUCUCCACAAUGUAACAACACAUCAAAUCAUCUCAAAAGCAUCACAAAACGCUUAAUAACACAUCAUCUCAUACAUCAAAAUCUUCACCAUAUGUGUAACAACACAUUAAAUCAUAUCACAAAAACCAUAGCAACACAUCUUCUCAUAUGUCAAAAUCAUCAUCAUAUGGAUAACAACACAUCACAUCAUAUCCAAAUCAUCACCAUACGCAUAACAACACAUCAUCUCAUAUGUCAAAAUGUUCACCAUAUACAUAACAACACAUCAAAUCAUAUCAAAAUCAUCGCCAUAUGCAUCAUAACUUCAUUGCAUCAUCAUUUGCGUAUUCAUCAUAACGUAAUUGCAUAUGCCUCAUACUAUCAUCACAUCAUAUUUGCAUAUGCAUCAUAACAUUGUCAUUUGCAUAUGCAUCAUAACAUCAUCACAUCGUAUUUGCAUAUGCAUCAUCACAUUAUCUCAUCAUCAUUUACAUAUGCAUCUUAAUAUCAUCGCAUGAUAUUUGCAUAUGCAUCAGCAUCAUAACAUCAAAGGACAAGAUAUAACAUCAUUUGCAUAUGCAUCAUAAUAAUUUAUCCAUCAUUCUUCCUCUCACUGCAACGUCUCAAACAACGAGAGACCAUCGUUAGAAGAGCCUGUGGGGGCGUUGUGUCGUUGCGUUGACACCAUGCCAUACCUAUAUCCUUUGGAAUUUUCUUGAUAUUUUGCAUACUGACCUUUAGUUGAUUAUGUAGCCUAUAUCUUGAUUUUUGUGUGAUGGAGAUAGAUCUUAGGGACGAUUUUUUUUGUUGGAGUGGCUUAUGUUCGAUUUUCUUCAUCAGAUCAUAAUUGUCUAGUCAGGCAGCCCAUAAUACUUAGAUUCAGUUGAAGAACAACGUGGAGCUAUUUGACUAACUCAAAGCAGACAACGCCUCAACAAGUGUCUUGGUGAUCAAAUUGGUACAUGAAAUAUGGCUGGUAGGAGUAGGACGGCAAACCUCAGACCUUGACUUCGAUUUUAUGUGUUCUCUCUUCUGCUCCUAGGAUCGCAAAAGGCUUAUGUCUUCAAAUAUGAUCAACGUAGAAAUCUGAGGCAGAAAUUAGCGAAAGACAGCCCAUCACGUGAAGCUGAGAUUCAACAUAAGGACAAGGUGGAGCUGCCUGAAUACCAAUGCAGACAAUGCUUCACUAAGGAAGAGAUAUAUGAAGGCUUGUGCGUCGCAAUCGGAUCAGGGUCAUAGUCGAGAGACCAUUGAAGAGCCGAUAGAACUGCUAAGCUCAAAGACAAUGGUAAUAAGAGCAUGUUGAAGCACAUUGGCGUACAGGAUAGGCUUGUGAUACGGCGAGCCUAGUUCUUCAUAUUUGAUGAGCAGAGCUAAUCUCAGAUCUGUGCAAUGAUUAUCUCUUUCACGUAUGACAAAAACUGAACUGAAGAUGGUUUUACAAUUCUGCAAACUCAUCUGGGCUUACAACACAGAGAAAGUGAAGCCUCGCCGUGGAAGGAUUAGGAGGCUCCCUCCUCUUACUGCUGACUUCUGGAACAAAUAGGGAUUUCAGUUCUGAUGUCGAACUCGAUAGGGAUUUCGUUGGAGUCCCUUGUAGCGAAUUUGUUUUUGGGUUUUGUUUCAGCGGCGUUCUUGGUGUCCACGUCAGAUCCUAACUCAGACCACCAAACAUUCAACAGUUGAAGCCUCGCCAUGGGCACGCCAGAGGAGCAGCAUCGCAACAAACCACCAUCACAAGCAUUCUCGCAACAAAUCACCACCACUGGCAUCGACAAUCACCUCGUAUCCAAAAUCGUCACCAUACACGUCUCACAUAUCAAAGUCAUCACCGAACGCGUUACAACAGAUCGUCUCUCAUAUCCAAAUGAUCACCGUAUGCGCCACAACACGUCACCCCAUAAACUAUGCCAAAAAAUGAAGAAUCUUUUCUCUCACUUCUCGAUUUCGUUCACUUUUUUUUUUUUUUUUUCUUCGUGGGUUUUGCUUAAUUAGUCAACUUUACUCUUAGUUUUAGCUACGAACGGUGAUUCUGUGUUGUGCGAUUCAUUCGUUAAUGGAGUGGUGUUUUUUUUUUGUGGUUCAUUGCUUGCUGUUUCGUAUAUUUGGUCAGUGAAAUCGUGACGUGACA